CCCGGACACAGGCUGUUGGAUGGACCAGCCUUUCUGAAAGAUCCCAUCCCUGCUCAAGGACAAUGAGUGCAUCCAGUCCACACAGACUGUCACCCCCAACGACGAAGACAGUGACAUCAAGAAAAUUAAGAAGCUUGCCAGACUCGAAUCAGGGGAGCCUGACUCAUUCCCAAGAAAACCAGGGAAAAUCAGAGAAUCCUGCUUGUUGAGAGGGCAGGAGGAGCCCAGUGCCAUCCAGACCAGAAGCUGCAGACUGGCACCCACAGGCAAGUUCAGCCUACCUGUGUGUUCGGGGUUUUUAGUCCACACAGUGUUUUUUCUUUUUAUUUUUUUCUUUUUAAUUUGUUGCCAGUGCUUUAAAAGCUAAAUAUUCCACAUAAAAAUCUGGGUGUCUGGUUUCUCAGAAAUAGUUAACAUCCAUUAAGCACUUUCUAUGUGCCAGACACUAUUCUAGAGCUUUAUGCAGAUUAACUCAUUCCUAACUAAAAACUCCCUGAGGUUUCAUUGUUAUCUGCAUUUUACAUAUGGGGAAGCUGAGGCGCAGAGAGGCAAAGUGACUUUCCUAGGUCACACAGCUGAGUAUUUGCAGAGUGACAUUUAAAUCCUUAAGAAUUUUAAAAGAAUGAGAAUCAGCUUUCCCUUGUUACACUUAGUUUUAUCUUGCUUGUAGAUACAACCUGUGUGUUGUAACUGGGUUGAGGUUAAUACUGACAGAGUUUUCUUUCCCUCUAGGCUAACG
RNAcentral lists this long non-coding RNA (739 nucleotides) under Equus asinus (donkey). RNAcentral describes it as "lncRNA (ENSEASG00005024794.1)". The record is from RNAcentral. Lineage: Eukaryota; Metazoa; Chordata; Mammalia; Perissodactyla; Equidae.